Molecule: long non-coding RNA, 753 nt
Filed under: Homo sapiens (human)
Lineage: Eukaryota; Metazoa; Chordata; Mammalia; Primates; Hominidae
Description: non-protein coding LINC01186:8
Source: RNAcentral
GUCGAGAGCGUGGGAAACCAGCAAGUUGAGAGAGGAUCCAGAAGUAACCCCUUCUAAAACGGGAAAGAUGCCUUCCGAAAGCACUUGGCCCUAAAGAGAAAACACUAGGAGGAUGGGAACCAGGGACAGAGAAGCUACUUGCUCUGCAGCUGUUUGGGCCAAUGAUCCAAUGGCCCCAUCUAGACUGGAGACACCAACUCAUGACUCAGCUGGCCUUGUGGCCCACACCCAGAAGUGGACUCAGUGCAUGAGGACUAUUUUCCACACUCCUAUGAUAGCAUCCCCAACCAAUCAGCAGGACCAUUUCCUAGCCCCUUGCCCACCAAACUAUCUUUUAAAAAACCUGGCUGGGCGCAGUGGCUCACACCUGCAAUCCCAGCACUUUGGGAGUCUGAGGUGGGUGGAUCACGAGGUCAGGAGUUCAAGACCAGCCUGGCUAAGAUGGUGAAACCCUGUCUCUACUAAAAAUACAAAAAAAAUUAGCCGGGCAUGGUGGCAGGCACCUGUAAUCCCAGCUACUUGGGAGGUUGAGGCAGAGAAUUGCUUGAACCCAGAGGCGGAGGUUACAGUGAGCCGAGAUCACUCCACUGCACUCCAGCCUGGAUAACAGAGCAAGACUCUGUCUCAAGGAAAAAAAAAAACAACCUAGCCUCCACAUUUUCAGAGAGGCUCGUUUGAGUAAUAAUAAAACUCUGGUCUCCCAUUUAGCUGGCUCUUCUUGUAUUAAACUCUUUUUCUAUUGCAAUAACCCUG